RNAcentral lists this ribosomal RNA (245 nucleotides) under uncultured bacterium. RNAcentral's name for it is "partial 16S ribosomal RNA". It matches the Rfam family "Bacterial small subunit ribosomal RNA", at positions 524 to 768 of the family's 1533-position model. The record is from RNAcentral.
UACAGAGGGUGCAAGCAUUAUUCGGAAUUACUAGGUGUAAAGGGCGCGUAGGUGGUUCUGUAAGUCAGAUGUGAAAUCCCAUGGCUCAACUGUGGGUCUGCAUCUGAAACUAUGGGACUAGAGUAUAAGAGGGGAAAACGGAAUUCCUGGUGUAGCGGUGAAAUGUGUAGAUACCAGGAGGAACACCGAUGGCGAAAGCGGUUUUCUGGCUUAAUACUGACACUGAGGCGCGAAAGCUAGGGGAU